CCAAGUCACUUCUAAAGCUGAACCAUUGCCCACGAAACCUGAAAUGAUAGAAUAUCAACAGGCAACACCACUCCUCUUUCUUUGAUUUUCUCUUUUGCACUUUUCCCAUCUACUUUCCCGGGGAUUGUUGAGAAAAAGGGCUUUGGGAAGAUUUGCCGGUUUCACACCCCUAAGCUUGGACUUCCCCCCACCAAAGAUCAAAGAUCUCGGAAAUGGAAUUCCAGGUCCACGUGCCCCCGCUCGCAUCAUCAAUCUCAUGCAUGAUGAUGCUCGUAUUCAAUCCCAAUCCUGAAAUCUCAUCAUGAUGGCCCUAGAUCCAACGGUGGGAUUUCGCUUGGCCACGAUCAUGUGCGAAUAGAUGCACACAUUCCCCCCCUCACGUAAUUAUUGAGACAAUGAUCCUCACCCACCAUUAACCCUACAGCUGGGUUCCAGAAAUGACCACGACCCUGGGUCCCACCCCUCCCUCUCUCUCUCAUCGUCAUCACCAUCAUCAUUCACCGCAUUCACAUUCAUAAUAUGCAGAGACGAGCAUCUCAUUCAUUCAAUUCAACUGGGAAGAUCAGAGACUAAUCAUCAGAGAGAGAGAGAGAGAGAGAGAGAGAGAGAGAGAGUUGAAGAAGAAGAAGAAGAAGAAGAAGAAAUGGGAAGCUCAGGUUUUGUGGGGAAUGUUGUCUGGUUCAAGGCUUCCAAGAUUCUUAGAGUACUACCCAUCAAAGAUUCAACCUUGGAUUUGUUCCAAUGUCCUCGGACCAGGCUUCAUUCCCCUCAAUUCUUGCUUCCCCUUAGCUUCCAGAUAAUGAUGGACAAAAUCCCCCUCAAGAGCAGAGCAGAGCAGACCAAAGCACCUUCAAGCGCCCUUUGGAUCGAAUCGAAAGUCACAGAGAUCCCCCAAGUUCUUCUGCUCGUAAUUGCAUUUGCAUGGGAUGGAGAGGGCCUCCAUGUGUUUGCCAGAUUGGUGUAAUGAUGUAGAGCUUUGACUGUCGUUAAGCUAUGGCCCUUUGUUAUGUCUGACACCCUCAGACCGACCACAUUUAAAAAACAGAAAAACAAUCCUUCAUCAUUAGUUU
Molecule: long non-coding RNA, 1070 nt
Organism: Rhodamnia argentea
Lineage: Eukaryota; Viridiplantae; Streptophyta; Magnoliopsida; Myrtales; Myrtaceae
Exons: 2
Source: RefSeq, a predicted model, not a curated record